Molecule: ribosomal RNA, 434 nt
Filed under: uncultured Oscillospiraceae bacterium
Lineage: Bacteria; Bacillati; Bacillota; Clostridia; Eubacteriales; Oscillospiraceae
Description: bacterial SSU rRNA
Rfam family: Bacterial small subunit ribosomal RNA
Source: RNAcentral
ACGGAAGGCAGCAGUGAGGGAUAUUGCACAAUGGGCGAAAGCCUGAUGCAGCAACGCCGCGUGAGGGAUGACGGUUUUCGGAUUGUAAACUUCUUUGGCAGGGGACGAUAAUGACGGUACCCUGAGAACAAGCCACGGCUAACUACGUGCCAGCAGCCGCGGUAAUACGUAGGUGGCAAGCGUUGUCCGGAUUUACUGGGUGUAAAGGGCGAGUAGGCGGGAAUGCAAGUCAGAUGUGAAAUACCGGGGCUUAACCCCGGAGCUGCAUUUGAAACUGUAUUUCUUGAGUGAUGGAGAGGCAGGCGGAAUUCCCGGUGUAGCGGUGAAAUGCAUAGAGAUCGGGAGGAACACCAGUGGCGAAGGCGGCCUGCUGGACAUUAACUGACGCUGAGGCGCGAAAGUGUGGGGAGCAAACAGGAUUAGAUACCCUGGUA